Non-coding RNA from Marmota flaviventris (yellow-bellied marmot), 610 nucleotides. NCBI's taxonomy places the organism in Eukaryota, Metazoa, Chordata, Mammalia, Rodentia, Sciuridae. The record is from RefSeq and is a predicted model, not a curated record.
GGCUCCAUCUUCCAUGGCCCUGGGUGGAGGCAGCAUGCAGCUUGGCCAGCUGCAGAGCCAACGUAAAGAACGGCGGUUUUUCUGCAGGCUCUGGGUCCCAUGGGCCUGUCUAAGCUGCUGGGCGAGUUUCCGUUGGAGAGGGGAUCCCUGCUUGUCUGGGGACUGCAGUGUCAUCUCAGAGACACUGGGAAGACACCCUGGGCCUGUCCAGGUGAGGCAGCCGGUGUUCCAGACUCAGCUCGGAUCUUUAAUUGGUUGACAAUGUUCCAAGACCUUUUGUGUGUCACAUCCAGCCUCAGAAAACAGGCCACAGUCACCCUCCCCAGGAGGAGCAGGUCACGUAGUUAUCACCAUUGAAGCAGCUGCUUGGUCUUGGGAGUCCAGCCACAGAGGGACAAACACGAUGUGCAAGAAAUAUCCGAGAAACGAUUCAUACAGCCCUGGGCACAGCCUUGGGCUUCCAUCUACAUCAUGUGUCCGUGAGGGGCCCAGGACAAAGUCGGGGAGAUCAGGAGGAAACAUAUGGGUCUGGCAGGAGCAGCCCACCCUCCACGACUCCCAGGGGUGCUUAACCACAGAGCCACAUCCCCAGCUCAUAUAUAUAUAUAUA